Molecule: ribosomal RNA, 240 nt
Filed under: uncultured Gardnerella sp.
Lineage: Bacteria; Bacillati; Actinomycetota; Actinomycetes; Bifidobacteriales; Bifidobacteriaceae
Description: partial 16S ribosomal RNA
Rfam family: Bacterial small subunit ribosomal RNA
Source: RNAcentral
GCGUGACCAACCUGCCCCAUGCUCCAGAAUAGCUCUUGGAAACGGGUGGUAAUGCUGGAUGCUCCAACUUGACGCAUGUCUUGUUGGGAAAGUGUUUAGUGGCAUGGGAUGGGGUCGCGUCCUAUCAGCUUGUAGGCGGGGUAAUGGCCCACCUAGGCUUCGACGGGUAGCCGGCCUGAGAGGGCGGACGGCCACAUUGGGACUGAGAUACGGCCCAGACUCCUACGGGAGGCAGCAGCC